This 641-nucleotide ribosomal RNA is filed under the name uncultured marine eukaryote. RNAcentral describes it as "SSU rRNA". It matches the Rfam family "Eukaryotic small subunit ribosomal RNA", at positions 616 to 1258 of the family's 1831-position model. The record is from RNAcentral.
CGGUUAAAAAGCUCGUAGUUGGAUCUCGGCAAGUAGAGGGCGGUAUGCUUCGUAGCAUUACUGCCCUAUUACUUGUAGUUUUGCCAGAGGUUCCUGGGUGCUCUUAAUCGAGUGUCUAGGGAUGCUGGCAGGUUUACUUUGAAAAAAUUAGAGUGCUCAAAGCAGGCUAUUACGCUUGAACAUUCGUGCAUGGAAUAAUAGAAUAGGAAGUUGUUUCUAUUUUGUUGGUUUUCGGAAAUCGACUUAAUGAUUAAUAGGGACAGUCGGGGGCAUUUGUAUUCAAACGACAGAGGUGAAAUUCUUGGACCGUUUGAAGACAAACUACUGCGAAAGCAUUUGCCAAGAAUGUUUUCAUUAAUCAAGAACGAAAGUUAGAGGUUCGAAGGCGAUUAGAUACCGCCCUAGUUCUAACCAUAAACGAUGCCAGCUAGCGAUCUGAGGACGUUUUUUUUGUAGACUCCUCAGGAAGCUUCCGGGAAACCAAAGCGUGUGGGUUCCGGGGGAAGUAUGGUUGCAAAGCUGAAACUUAAAGGAAUUGACGGAAGGGCACCACCAGGAGUGGAGCCUGCGGCUUAAUUUGACUCAACACGGGAAAUCUCACCAGGCCCGGACACUGGAAGGAUUGACAGAUUGAGAGCUCU